UCGAGAAUCUUCCUCAAUGGGCGAAAGCCUGAAGGAGCGAUGCCGCGUGCGGGAUGAAGGCCCUCGGGUUGUAAACCGUGAAAGUAAGAAGGAAGGCCUUGUGAAGAACAAGGUUUGACCAAACUACAGUAAGGACGGGCUAAGUUCGUGCCAGCAGCCGCGGUAACACGAACCGUCCAAACGUUAUUCGGAAUCAUUGGGCUUAAAGGGUGCGUAGGCGGCGUGUUAAGUCGGGUGUGAAAUCCCUCAGCUCAACUGAGGAACUGCGCCCGAUACUGGCAUGCUCGAGGGAGACAGGGGUAAGCGGAACUGAUGGUGGAGCGGUGAAAUGCGUUGAUCUCAUCAGGAACACCGGUGGCGAAAGCGGCUUACUGGGUCUCUUCUGACGCUGAGGCACGAAAGCUAGGGUAGCGAACGGGAUUAGAUACCCCCGUAGUCC
RNAcentral lists this ribosomal RNA (439 nucleotides) under uncultured prokaryote. RNAcentral describes it as "bacterial SSU rRNA". It matches the Rfam family "Bacterial small subunit ribosomal RNA", at positions 355 to 796 of the family's 1533-position model. The record is from RNAcentral.